AAAAAAAAAAAAAAAAAAAAAAAAAAAAA
Molecule: non-coding RNA, 29 nt
Filed under: Prorocentrum micans
Lineage: Eukaryota; Dinophyceae; Prorocentrales; Prorocentraceae
Also listed under: 3 other names
Source: RNAcentral